UCUAAUAUGGCAGAUAAGUGCAAUGGAUUUAAGCCCCAUAUAUAAAGGAUUUUCUUUUAUUAGAA
This 65-nucleotide transfer RNA is filed under the name Panesthia sp. Salganea. Its description in RNAcentral is "tRNA-Leu". The record is from RNAcentral. RNAcentral also lists the same sequence under 1 other name. Lineage: Eukaryota; Metazoa; Arthropoda; Insecta; Blattodea; Blaberidae.